This is a long non-coding RNA of Ooceraea biroi (clonal raider ant), 432 nucleotides long. RefSeq lists it as uncharacterized. The record is from RefSeq and is a predicted model, not a curated record. NCBI's taxonomy places the organism in Eukaryota, Metazoa, Arthropoda, Insecta, Hymenoptera, Formicidae.
UAAAACACGUACAGGUGCUAUCUUGCCCAAGGAGACAUAAAACACAUCGAGGAUUGUGCGUGGAAACGUUUCAAUCAGCACCAUCGAGCCGAAGUGUCAUCAAUAUUUACAGGAUGGACGAAAGAGAGGAAGAGAUUGCCGAGGAUUACACAAGAGCUUCAUUGGCAUUAGGCAACAGUGACAAUGGCUUCUAAAUCGGGAAACUUGACUUACCUGCGGCAACGGCGAAUCGUCCUCUCGGAUCUGAAUCCCUCCUAUUUGGACGGCAGCGGGUGUCAUCGGCUGGAUUCCAUGCAGAGCGAUUAGAGAGUGUGGAGAGUGUUGUACGUACGUUGCCACACAGUCUUGGGAAAUUCCUGUCUUACAAUGACGUUUGAUACGAAGGCCAAGUUCUCUGGUUGACCGAUUAAUUCACUAUGCCAUGGAUACAUC